AGUACGCACUUCGGUGCAAUGUACGAGUGGCGAACGGGUGAGUAACACGUGAGAAACCUGCCUCGGAGACCGGGACAACCAUUGGAAACGAUGGCUAAUACCGGAUGUCCUCAUUUGAUCGCAUGAUCUUUUGAGGAAAUGAUCCGUCGCUCCGGGAGGGUCUCGCGGCCUAUCAGCUUGUUGGUGAGGUAAUGGCUCACCAAGGCAUCGACGGGUAGCUGGUCUGAGAGGACGAUCAGCCACACUGGGACUGAGACACGGCCCAGACUCCUACGGGAGGCAGCAGUAGGGAAUCUUGCACAAUGGGCGAAAGCCUGAUGCAGCGACGCCGCGUGGGGGAUGAAGGCCUUCGGGUUGUAAACCCCUUUCAGUAGGGACGAAAAUGACGGUACCUACAGAAGAAGCUCCGGCCAACUACGUGCCAGCAGCCGCGGUAACACGUAGGGAGCAAGCGUUGUCCGGAUUUAUUGGGCGUAAAGAGCUCGUAGGUGGUUCGGUAAGUCGGAUGUGAAAACUCAAGGCUCAACCUUGA
Molecule: ribosomal RNA, 532 nt
Filed under: uncultured Actinomycetes bacterium
Lineage: Bacteria; Bacillati; Actinomycetota; Actinomycetes
Description: bacterial SSU rRNA
Rfam family: Bacterial small subunit ribosomal RNA
Source: RNAcentral